UACGGGGGGGGCAAGCGUUGUUCGGAAUUACUGGGCGUAAAGGGUUUGUAGGUGGCUUGUUAAGUCAGACGUGAAAUCCCUCAGCUUAACUGGGGAACUGCGUCUGAUACUGGCGAGCUUGAGUGCAGGAGAGGAACGCGGAAUUCCCGGUGUAGCGGUGAAAUGCGCAGAUAUCGGGAGGAACACCGGUGGCGAAGGCGGUUCUCUGGAUCUCUUCUGACGCUGAGGCACGAAAGCUAGGGGAGCAAACGGG
This 253-nucleotide ribosomal RNA is filed under the name uncultured bacterium. RNAcentral describes it as "partial 16S ribosomal RNA". It matches the Rfam family "Bacterial small subunit ribosomal RNA", at positions 524 to 776 of the family's 1533-position model. The record is from RNAcentral.